GUACUUUCUGAUUGAUGUUUCGGCGACCUAUUUGGGAUAGUGCACUAUAUUGUGUUAUUCAAGUGAAUCGAAUCUUUCAAAAUGGUCAUGCAAUGCUCAUAUUGUGGGAAAAAAGCCGACAGUGGGCGAACAUUCCAUCAGUUUCCAUUAAAUAAACCAGAAUUACUCAAAUCUUGGCUGGAGAAUGUCAAUCUAGGUGACCACUUCGAACCAUCGAAAAGCAUGAGAUUUAUUACUGAAAAAUCGGAUUCUGGCUAUCGGCAAAGAGAAUUACACACCUGAAGAGACAAGUCGCCUUUGCUCCAAUCAUUUUGAGAGAACCUGCUUUCGUUCCUCGGGUUGUAAGGGAUCACUCCUUUCGAGAAAUACGGCAGUCCCCACUAUAUUUCUACCCAUUCUAUCUGAAG
Molecule: unclassified non-coding RNA, 407 nt
Filed under: Athalia rosae (coleseed sawfly)
Lineage: Eukaryota; Metazoa; Arthropoda; Insecta; Hymenoptera; Athaliidae
Description: misc RNA ENSAEAG00005011080.1
Source: RNAcentral